GUCCAGAGGAGCUAUUGGACAGAAGGGAGUUGCUGGUGUCGAUGGGCCCAACUGGAUUACGGGGGCCAGUGGGGCCACCAGGACUAAAGGGACUACCGGGUGAAAAGGGGAAGAUGGGAGCUCGUGGGGAAAGAGGUGAAAAAUGAAUCCAGGGAGAUGGAGGCAACCAAGGUCAACAAGGACCAAAGGGCCCACUGGGAAAGAAGGAUACUCAGGGCCCUCAGGGGACAGAGGGAGCAAAUGAGUUCCAGGACUAAAGGGCCAGUAGGGCAUCAGAGGCCCAUCAGGCCUAGCUGGGCACUAUGGACCAGGGGGCAACACCGGAGAAGGAGGGGCCAAAGGAGAGAAGGGGCUCCCUGGAACCAUAGGGCCUCCUGGAAGGUUUGGGCCUACAGGCUUAGUGGGACCAAAAUGAUCAACAGUCCAAGAAGGAAGAAAGGGGACAUUGGGAAAGAGGGGGUUAACCGGGUCUCCAGGAGGUAAAGGCAGACCUGGGCCUGCUGGUCCCCUUGGAGAGAAAGGUGGUAAAGGAAUAGAAGGGCCAAAGCCCAGGAAAGAAAGGAACAAGGGAGUUAGAGGCAAACCGGGAGAAGGCCCAUUGGGACCGGAUGGACCAGUUGGAAGACCUGGAAAGCCAGGACUUGCUGGUUUGGAUGGAUUGUUGGGGGUUGAAGGAAACGAAGGAGAUAAUGGUGAUAUUGGUUACAGAGGAACCCCUGGGAGGCCAGGUAUGCCAGGGAAAAUGGGUCAAAUUGGACGAACUGUAUUUGACCAAUUGAGAUACCCAACGAAGGGUAAUCUUGGAUCUAAAGGAAAACAAGCACCUGCAGGGCCAAUGGGGCAAAGGGCUAUUCCAGGGCUUGGAGGAGAGAAGGGGACAUUUGGCCAGCAUGGCUCAAAGGAUCUGUUAGGAAAGAGAGGAUACAAGGUAUGCCUGGAGCUAAGGGGGUGAGAGGGGAAAUCAGGUCCUCCUGGCCGUCCAAGAAAUAGGCGACCUGAAUCCCUUGGAAAAAAAGAAUAAGAUUUUAAAAACAAAACCGGACCAUGACCAGGAGAACGCUUGACUCUGACCAUCACUCAAGCAGCUCCUUCAGCUGGCCUCAGGGCACCAAAGACAGCCCUGCAACAAGCUGGGGCUGAUUCAUCCACACCUGCAGGAUGGAAACUUUUAUGUGGACCCUAAGCAGGGCUGCCUGUUUGAUGCCCUGCAAGUGUACCUGUAACUUCACUGUAGGAGGGAUGACCUGUAUACCUCCUGUGUUGUCACAAGUGGAGGUACGAGUAUGGGGGAGCACAGAGAUCCAUAGAGGGGACUUGGAGCUGUUGCCCCUCAGGGAUGUUAGUGCGGAGGGAAGGGGAGAUCACUGGGACACAGACCUCAGAGCUGUCCUGAGACCUUUGUGCUUUUUGUAGCCUCCAUUUAUCCAGAGAGAAGAAGCAAGCACUGCCCAGUGUAUGGGGCAAGAUCAUUUGGCUGCAAUUCCUCAUCAGGACAAAAGAAUGUUGUCUCAUCAUGUUGUCUGUUCGCUGCAGCGCUUAUGUAUAAUUGCGAUAACAACUAG
Long non-coding RNA from Oncorhynchus tshawytscha (Chinook salmon), 1562 nucleotides. The record is from Ensembl. NCBI's taxonomy places the organism in Eukaryota, Metazoa, Chordata, Actinopteri, Salmoniformes, Salmonidae.